UGAGGAACAUGACCUUCGGCGGGGGAUAGCCGGCCCAACGGCCGGGUAAUACCGCGUACGACCACAUGGGGACAUCCCCGAGUGGUGAAAGCAGCAAUGCGCCGAUGGAGUGUCUCGCGGCCUAUCAGCUAGUUGGUGAGGUAACGGCUCACCAAGGCGACGACGGGUAGCUGGUCUGAGAGGAUGGCCAGCCACAUUGGAACUGAGACACGGUCCAGCUCCUAGG
Molecule: ribosomal RNA, 226 nt
Filed under: uncultured bacterium
Lineage: Bacteria
Description: partial 16S ribosomal RNA
Rfam family: Bacterial small subunit ribosomal RNA
Source: RNAcentral